CUCUUCAGCGGGCAUUUGCAGAAAUGCGACGGACAUUCAUACAGGGUAAAGGGUGAUUUAUAGUCGUGCGUAGGUCCUACGGCGUAGCAGCGACGGCGUAGGUUCCGCGUCGGUUUUCAUUUAUACUUGUGCGUCGCCGUCCGCGUCGACGUGCAAACACACGCGAAACCGCUGGUUGGCAGUAAUCACGCGUGUAACCACAGUAGCAGCAGAAGUCGUCAGAGAAGAAGAAGCUAAGCAAGUUAACCCACAAACGAAGAAGAAAUAGCAACUUGUUGUGUAUAAUUUGAGAAGACCAGCAAUGAUGGAAGUAAAUAAACAGCGACUUAUGUUGCAGUUUGAGUUAAAUCACUCCUCAACUUGGCUCAUCUUUGUUUUCACCGUCUCAACCGGAAAUACCUAUGACGCAGUUUUUUUACCUGACGGGAGGGGUUCUGGUGGACCAAUCACAGAGCUUGCGGUCCGCGUAGAGCCGACGCGCUGUUAGGAAUUUUGUGAGGUGCGCGUCCUACGGCGUAGCAGCUACGGCGUAGGUUCCGCGUCGGUUUUCAUUUAUACUUGUGCGUCGCCGUCCGCGUCGACGUGCAAACACACGCGAAACCGCGGGUUGGCAGUAAUCACGCGUGUAACCACAGUAGCAGCAGAAGUCGUCAGAGAAGAAGAAGCUAAGCAAGUUAACCCACAAACGAAGAAGAAAUAGCAACUUGUUGUGUAUAAUUUGAGAAGACCAGCAAUGAUGGAAGUAAAUAAACAGCGACUUAUGUUGCAGUUUGAGUUAAAUCACUCCUCAACUUGGCUUAUCUUUGUUUUCACCGUCUCAACCGGAAAUACCUAUGACGCAGUUUUUUUACCUGACGGGAGGGGUUCUGGUGGACCAAUCACAGAGCUUGCGGUCCGCGUAGAGCCGACGCGCUGUUAGGAAUUUUGUGAGGUGCGCGUCAGGCUACGCAGAGCUACGCACAGGCUACGGAUAGCCUACGCCGUAGCUACGGCGUAGCACCUACGCACGACUAUAAAUCGCCCUUAAGUCACA
This is a non-coding RNA of Paramisgurnus dabryanus, 1033 nucleotides long. NCBI's taxonomy places the organism in Eukaryota, Metazoa, Chordata, Actinopteri, Cypriniformes, Cobitidae. The record is from RefSeq and is a predicted model, not a curated record.